GACGAACGCUGGCGGCGUGCUUAACACAUGCAAGUCGAACGGAAAGGCCCUGCUUUUGUGGGGUGCUCGAGUGGCGAACGGGUGAGUAACACGUGAGUAACCUGCCCUUGACUUUGGGAUAACUUCAGGAAACUGGGGCUAAUACCGGAUAGGAGCUCCUGCUGCAUGGUGGGGGUUGGAAAGUUUCGGCGGUUGGGGAUGGACUCGCGGGUUAUCAGCUUGUUGGUGGGGUAGUGGCUUACCAAGGCUUUGACGGGUAGCCGGCCUGAGAGGGUGAACGGCCACAUUGGGACUGAGAUACGGCCCAGACUCCUACGGGAGGCAGCAGUGGGGAAUAUUGCACAAUGGGCGGAAGCCUGAUGCAGCAACGCCGCGUGCGGGAUGACGGCCUUCGGGUUGUAAACCGCUUUCGCCUGUGACGAAGCGUGAGUGACGGUAAUGGGUAAAGAAGCACCGGCUAACUACGUG
Molecule: ribosomal RNA, 468 nt
Filed under: uncultured bacterium
Lineage: Bacteria
Description: partial 16S ribosomal RNA
Rfam family: Bacterial small subunit ribosomal RNA
Source: RNAcentral